UAGAAGCAGACAAUGAGAUAACAGUAGAUAAAAGUAUGGACUAUGACAAACAGUGAUAAAUGCUAUAGAAGUUACUAGGUGGGAAGGCAGUUAGGGAGAGCAGCGAGCAAUGAAUACACAGAUCAGGUUAUACUGAAAAGGCAGCAUUCUGGUAAGGACCUGGAAGAAGGAAGGGGGACUGUCACUAGGACAGAGGGUGCAGCAGUGAAGGCAAAGGCCACUGUGACUGUGGUGAGUGAGAAUAAUCUCAAGGAGAUGUCAGAGGAUGCUGGACAGCAUGUUGGAUAGGCCUGAAGGGCUAGCCACCAUCUCUUCCCAGACUUUCCACAGAUGGCCCUCCUUCUCACACACAUAUUUUCCAACAUCCCGCAGUGUAUACUCAGCUCCUACACUGCUGUUGGCCUCCCUGGCUACUGCCCUUUCAAAGUCCCUUUCUGGUGCCUGCUAUGAGUUCUGGAAAUGUGGUGAGGGGAACUUUUUUGAGUCAGCAUGACUAGUACACCCAGGUCAUGAGGGAAACAUCUCCUGGUGUCCCCAAGGCAGUCCUGGAAGAAAUUAACAUUUGAGUCACAGGCUGAGUAAAGUUGAUCCACUGCCGCUAAGGGUAGGCAUACACCCCUGAACCAACUAAGGGCUUGAAUAUGAUUUAAAAAAAAAUGCAGAACACAGUAAGCACAUUCACUUCCUGAUGCUUUUUCCAGCCCUGCAGCAGAGGUUGUAGGCUUUGUGGCUUUGAGAUCUAGUGUAAGGGUCCAUGAUUCACUGAAGAAUGGUACCUUGGAUUCAAUUAGUAUGCAAAAGCAAAGAGCGUUUUAUUCUGCAUAAGUCCAGCAUGCUGGCGUCUACCAUCAACCAAGAUGGAGGCCCCUAGUGAGCUCGCAGGCCAGAUUUAAAGCACAUUAGGGAAAUUCUGGGAGGGGUAGGCAACCUCUAUCUCAAUCUGUGGGCUCUAUCUCUAGGGACAUUCCACAACCAUUGCUGGGGCGGGGCCUAGAAACUGUUGCUGACCCAUUGUCCUUGCCUCAGGCCUGAUGGCCCGGCAGUUUCUGACUGGCUGCCUGAGGCCUGGGUUUUUUUUUGUUUGUUUGUUUUGUUUUGUUUUGUUUUUGUUUUUGUUUUUUGUUGUUGUUGUUGUUUUGGUUUUUGUUGUUGUUGUUGUUUUUUUUGUUUUCAGUAACUGGCUUACCUGGACUUGCCCAGUUCUUGGAAACAGAGAUUUAGGCCUAGUCUCCUGAACUGCCAAUUUGAAGCCUGUCUCACUAGGAGGCUGAGGGCUUUCCUGGCCCUUCUGCUUGUAGAUAGCUCAUUGUGGAACAUCUCAGCUGAUUCUGCUUCUCUGGUAAACCUCAAUACGGCGGCCAUGUAGAAUCACCUAUUUCUGCUUGCCUUAACUUCUCAUCAAGAUCCACACUGUUGGGCAAAAGCCAGACGUGUAUUCUUUUUCUUUAUGUCACGCACUCUGCAUACACAAGGAGAAUGCUUGUUACAUAGAAACCCCAACUCUACCGGAGAGUUUUGAGAACUGUGUGCUUGUCCUUUUGUCUGAAUCUGAAGAGAACGUGGCGUGGGAUCGUUUAAUCCUGUCCAUUAAUCAAUAUUCUUUCAAGUACAAUGAUUUCAUUUUGGAAAUAUUCAAGCCCAAAUCCAAGGAUUAUAGAAUUUCAGAGUGUGCUACGUUUACCCUGCCUUUUUUAGUCUGUAUUAGGAAAAUAGUGCACCUUUGAAUAUAUGCCUCAAUUUUUAUAUUUGAUUGGAAUACAAAUAGAUUUUUUAAACCUUUCAAAGCAUGAAGAAAUAACAGUCUGAGGUACUUAGGUAUGGAUGUCUCAGUUUAGUGGGUGAACGGGCAACACCUCCAAAAGUGACAUGACGCCAGAGAGUUGGCAUUGUAGAGUGCAUGGUCUUCAUCUCACCCCUUCCCUUAGGCUUCUCCAUUGUCUGCAGGCAGAAGGGACCCAGCAAAUGCGACGGUGACAAUGUUGUCAUCAGCCCAUCUCACAGCGGAAAGCUGCAAAUCACACACAGCAUUUGCUGGUUACAUAGAUCUUGGUGGCAGGUUUGGUCCCGAAAAAAAAAAUGCUUGCACUCAGUGCUCCCCAAUCUGUCCUUAGCCAUCAGGAUUUGAGAAUGUGUAAAUAGUGUCAAUCUUUCUUUUGCACUUUGUCAAUCUGUCUGUCCCACUGACUCUGGGAAGAUAAAUGAGCCCUUGGGUUUCCAUCUGGUGGAGGCAGAUGGUAGGAAGUACCUUAAUACAGGUGACAUUCAGCUAUCAGCAAGAUAAAGGAGCCUGACUCAGAGCAGAUGCCUGGGGAGCUUGGUCGGUCGUGACAGCUGAAGACAUCACCUAGGAGCUGAGGCUAUUUUUGACUGUGGUAGAAAAGUUGCCACAUGCUCCUUCUUCUUGCCUUGUAGUUUAAAGGUAUAUGAAAAUGGCUUGGAGGAAGAGUAAUAAUGUCUGUACGCUGACUCAGCAUUCUGAGAAAAGUACAAGUGAUUUCUAGGUACUAGGGGGAAUACAGUGGAUGGUAGUCCACUGCACCACAGAGACAGGGUUCUGGGAAAUGAUCUAGGGGCUCCUGUCAAGGAGAGGUGCAGACCGGAAAAAGGCAGUCAGAGAAAGUGAAGGCAGCGGGAGACUGUGUCUUCUCUGAGUUCUCUGGGCUUCCACCUCUCCCAGAAGCAGAGGCUGAAAAGAACAGAAGGUUUCAUGUCAAACUAGUGGGUUCAAGUCACACCUCACUCCCAGCUCCGUGGACAGUGCCUUACCAUGUUCAUGUCCUCCCCAUGACCAACCAACACCUUUUGGUCAGCUGAGACCCAGACCUCACACCGAUGUUCUUUUUGUGUGCUCUGCCAGCUACCUGCUUCGCUUUCCCUGCAUCUGUAUAUUCAGGCCACACAUCAGCCAGGCCCCUGGGACUCUGAGACAUUCACCUCUAAGCUUUGCAACAUCCUGUUAAAGAUGGAGGACUAGGAAGGCUUGAGUGGUCCCAGAAAGCCAAAGAUGGGAGAGAAGGACAAUAUUGUAUCUUUGUGCAUCUGACCAUCCAAGUGUGUGUUUCCUGGGGGGUGAGUUAGGGGAGGGGGGAGAAUCUUCUUUAGCUUUGGUAUCACCAGGUAAAGCAAUUUGGCAAAGAGAGCCUGUUCUUUUGGGGAACUGAGCCAGCUCACAUGCCGCUACUUAUACAGGCUGCUUGGUUUUCCCCAGUAUGUCACACCAUCUUCAGGGUGGACAAUCUACAUACGCAGACAGCUGAUAUUACUUCACCCACACUUAGAAAUAGCACCCACUGACUUACUCAGAGACCACAACCAAACAAAAAUGAUCCAGACUGACCCAAAGACAGACAGACUGACUCUGAAAAACUAAUGGUACCUUCCUUAAAUAGAC
This 3391-nucleotide long non-coding RNA is filed under the name Mus musculus (house mouse). RNAcentral's name for it is "long non-coding RNA chr13:97678194-97681585". The record is from RNAcentral. Lineage: Eukaryota; Metazoa; Chordata; Mammalia; Rodentia; Muridae.